Biomphalaria pfeifferi is the source of this 972-nucleotide non-coding RNA. The record is from the annotation of a GenBank genome assembly. Lineage: Eukaryota; Metazoa; Mollusca; Gastropoda; Planorbidae.
AUGUAGAAAUAAGACACUUGGGGUUCUCUAACUGAUCAAAAAGUUAACGCGGCUGAAAGUUGACACGCUGCUUGCUAUGAAGUUGUAAAACUCUUUGAUCAAGACUGUGCCAGUGGACUCGGUUCUAACACUUCCAACAAAUUUCACCAAGUUAGAUAACUCUCAUUCUACUGGUGUAACGAGUGAACCAAAGGCUUAGUUACCUUUUAUUUAUUCCAACACAUUCUCCUCUCGUUUUGUUCUCUACACUACCUCUACUCAAAAAUGUUUUUUUUAUAUUUUGUGGUUCUGUUUAUUCCUUAAUCUCUCUUUAUCUGCCAAGGAACUGAAAGUAAAAUCUUACUGUUUUGACUUUUUGAAAUGGUUGUCCCCUCAAGGUUUUUUUUUAUUGUCUGAAUAUUUCAUUGAACCCAACCAUGUUCAUGAACAGAACAUAGUUGACAUAAUGCAACAUCAUAUCUUGAACAAACUGAGCUACACUCAAAACUCUUUCCCAUUCAACUUCAAGUCUUGUAUUCCAGAGGACUCAAACAGAUAGCCUGACUACAAAAACAGUCAAAACACAGAUACAAACAAGCCAUGUUUCAAUUUAGUUUCAUUGAGAAUGAACAAAACUUUCUUUUCACCAACACCCAGCUAUGAAAUUGAGGAGAAAAACAAACAAAAUGUAAAUAAUUGGCCUAACAUUGGUGAAUCCCUCAGAGUACUACAUAAUGACCAAUACAAGGCUCUGCUUUCAGUCACCACUUUGUUGAAAACUAUGUACACAAAUAAUCAUGAAACAGAAUGUAGCAGUUCUUAUUUUUACAACAUGCACAUCUACAGUCACACACAUACUUGCUGGUGUAAAUAGAGACAUCUCUAAUGGAAGCAGCUAUGCAAAUGACAAAAGUUGAAAUGAAAUGGAAAUUUGUUAAUUUAUCGAAUUCAUAUUUUUUCUUUCAGUCAAAACUCAAAAAAAAAUAAUAAAAA